GUGUUCAUCCUCAACCUUUAUAUAUGUUAUGUAUUAUCAUAAAAUACAACUUACAUUUCAAUAUUAAGGAUGAACACGAAUGCGGCCACUUUCGGUUUACACCAAAACCGUCUAAAAUUUAACUAAAAAUGCUAGAAUUAUGAGGAUUUCAGUAAUUUAGCAUGACUUAAUGGUGCUGGUACUGGAUAUAUGUGCAUUGUAUUGUCAAAAACAGCCCAUAUUUAUGUAGCAGAAGCAUUCUACUGUCCAAUAAAUAACUAAAGGUUUAUAUUUUAACAAUUUUGUAAAACUGCUAUAUUUUGGGGCCAAAAAGGGGUCUUACUGAACCUACUCCUUU
This 337-nucleotide long non-coding RNA is filed under the name Mytilus galloprovincialis (Mediterranean mussel). Lineage: Eukaryota; Metazoa; Mollusca; Bivalvia; Mytilida; Mytilidae. The record is from RNAcentral.